This is a non-coding RNA of Microcebus murinus (gray mouse lemur), 917 nucleotides long. NCBI's taxonomy places the organism in Eukaryota, Metazoa, Chordata, Mammalia, Primates, Cheirogaleidae. The record is from RefSeq and is a predicted model, not a curated record.
UGGAGUUCUCAGAGUUCUGGCUGAGAGCAGGUGCUGCAGCCAGCUGUUCUAGCUGAGGAUGGACUGCCUGGCCUAGCUGUCAAAGUCUGAGUUCCGGGUAUACAGCAAACAUUUAUGGAAAACCACGUAUGUGCUGUAGUUACCACUGCAACUCGUCUAAAAGCAGCAAUUCCUGUGAAGUCUUGACUAUUUUUCGUAAUGAAUAAAUCCUAAACAUGUAGACAUGCAGACUGCUGCUGCCGUGCCACCUCUGCUGUUGUGUCCCCACCUCAAACCAUGGAGACUGUCCCCAGUUUCUGCACCUUUCUGGAUCUCAAUCUUCCUGAGUUCUAAAGGGCCGACCGGCGAUGGAGAAAGAAGGCUCAAAUGUAUUUGGGGACUUGACGCCUACUUGUGCCACAUCAGUUUAAUUUUCCAUUAAAGAAUCUUCUGCAUCAGGAACUUCCUGAAGGACCCACCAACUCUUCAUUGGAAAGGAUCAACAGUUUGUCUUUUAAGAUUCUUGGAAUCCCAUGCUCUCAAAAUCCUCACCUUGAUGAUUCCACUGAUCCUGGACUAUUGUAUUGUGAUUCUUACUUGGUCCUAGUCAAGUCCCUACAUCGAAAGACCCACCUUAAACUACCCUUGCGAUUUUUGAUAAAUUUUUACUUCACCUUAUACCAUCUGAGACACUACAAAGCUGAUGUGAUGUUCUCUCCUACUAUACUAAGUAAUUAACUAAACUUGUCUUAUCAACAAGCUGUGUUGGUGAUAUUUGGGUAACCAGCUUUUGAUAUAAUGAGAAGUGGUUACCUGUUUUGUAGGUGGGUAUAUGUAUGUAAGGGUACUGGACAGAUGAUAGAAGAGGGGUGGAGAAAAGGUAUAGUUUGUUUUACCUUUUUAUUUUUCUUCACUGAAAAUUUUUUAUACUGCUGAAU